Molecule: ribosomal RNA, 1275 nt
Filed under: Triticum aestivum (bread wheat)
Lineage: Eukaryota; Viridiplantae; Streptophyta; Magnoliopsida; Poales; Poaceae
Description: partial small subunit ribosomal RNA
Source: RNAcentral
AUGGCCAGCACGCCCACCGUUACCAAGUCGCCGCCGGCGCUCAUCCCGCCGGCGGGGCCUACCCCCUGCGGCACCCUCCCGCUCUCCUCCAUUGACAAGACCGUCGCCGGCUCCGGCUUUGUGAACCUUAUGCAGGUCUUUCCCCCGCCCUCAAUCGACCAGGGCACCGUCGCGGCCGUGGCCGCAAUGCGCGACGGGUUCGCGAGGGCGCUUGUACCCUACUAUCCAGUGGCCGGCCGCAUCGCCUCGAGCGGCCUCGCGGUGGACUGCACCGGGGAGGGCAUCUGGUUUGUGGAAGCCGCCGCGAGCUGCACGCUCGCUGACGUCGACGGCCUCGACUGCUGCCCGCUGCUCAUCCCAGGAGAGCUCCUCCUCCCUCGCCCUCCCCCCGGCGAGAAGCUCAACGACCUCAUCCUCAUGGCCCAGGCGACGAGGUUCACCUGCGGUGGGUUCGCCGUCGGGAUCCGCUUCAGCCACGCGGUUUUCGACGGACAUGGGGCUGCGCAGUUCCUUACGGCGGUGGGGGAGCUAGCGCGGGGCCUCAAGGCGCCGUCAGUGGCUCCGGUGUGGGACCGCGACGCGAUCCCAGACCCUCCAAGCCCGCUGCCGGGGCAGCUCACGGAGUUCAGGCUGGUGACCCAGGUGGUCGACAUCUCGGCGGAGAGCAUCGCGCGCGUGAAGGACGAGUUCAAGCAGGCUGCCGCGACAUCGACGGGGGAGGUGUGCUCCACCUUUGACGCGGUGACGGCCGUGGUGUUCAAGUGCCGCGCGCUGGCGCUGGCGUCGGCGCUCCCUGAGGACGUCGAGGUCCGGAUGGCCUUCGCCGCCAGCACGCGGCACCUUCUCCGCGGCGUGCUGCCGACCGUGGAGGGCUACUACGGCAACUGCGUAUUCCUGGCGUGCGCCACUAGGACAGGCAAGGCUGUCCGGGAGGCGGCGCUGGCGGAGGUGGUCGGCGCGGUACGGGAGGCGAAGGAGGCGGUUCCCGCUCGGUUCGCCGGCUGGAUGCGCGGCGUCGAGCAGUACGACGUGCCGCCGCUCGACUACAGCACAGUGACGUUGUCGGACUGGAGCCGUCUCGGCUUCGACGAGGUGGACUACGGCUUCGGUGCGCCUGGGUACGUGUUCCCGCUCAACGACCACGUCAACUUCGUCGCGGCGCUCAACUACGUCAGGCCGCCGGCACCCAGGCGUGGGGGCAUCCGGGUGGUGCUCCGCUGCGUCGAGGAGCCUCAUGCGGCCGCGUUCGCCGUCGAGCUCGCCAAGUUCGCCUAG